Molecule: long non-coding RNA, 464 nt
Organism: Drosophila sulfurigaster albostrigata
Lineage: Eukaryota; Metazoa; Arthropoda; Insecta; Diptera; Drosophilidae
Exons: 2
Source: RefSeq, a predicted model, not a curated record
ACGCGUGUGAAAAAGUCGCGUCCCUUGAUUAGCGUUUAAUUUGUUUGUUUCUCUAAAUAUCUUAACCUCGUUUUCCGCAUCAUCAGCUGUUCUUUAGUGCGAUCAGUGAGAACUAAUCAAGUUUCCGUUAAACACAUCUAUUUUUGAAAACAGUAAAACCGAAAAAUGAGGAAUUUACUCGAAGUAACGGCAUUUUCUUCCUAAGCAAACUUUGCGGGGGGAACUAGAGUGCGAUACUUACUGCGACUGGACGAUGCGCUGACAUAGGCGGAGGAACGUCGUUUGAAACCGCUGGGCGCUGCCUCGCCACCGGCACCGCCUGUGCCACCGCUGCUGCUGCUGGCGGGCAGGAAACGGGAGAGGGAGAGCAGGGUCUUGAACAGUUCGGUCACGCUGGUGUCCUCCUUCGCUGAGCACUCAAGCACCUUGGCCCUGCAAACGAAAAAAGGCGAAAAAAGCGAAAA